AGUGAACGCUGGCGGUAGGCCUAACACAUGCAAGUCGAACGGCAGCACAGUAAGAGCUUGCUCUUACGGGUGGCGAGUGGCGGACGGGUGAGGAAUACAUCGGAAUCUACUUUUUCGUGGGGGAUAACGUAGGGAAACUUACGCUAAUACCGCAUACGACCUACGGGUGAAAGCAGGGGAUCUUCGGACCUUGCGCGUUUGAAUGAGCCGAUGUCGGAUUAGCUAGUUGGCGGGGUAAAGGCCCACCAAGGCGACGAUCCGUAGCUGGUCUGAGAGGAUGAUCAGCCACACUGGAACUGAGACACGGUCCAGACUCCUACGGGAGGCAGCAGUGGGGAAUAUUGGACAAUGGGCGCAAGCCUGAUCCAGCCAUACCGCGUGGGUGAAGAAGGCCUUCGGGUUGUAAAGCCCUUUUGUUGGGAAAGAAAAGCAGCGGGUUAAUACCCCGCUGUUCUGACGGUACCCAAAGAAUAAGCACCGGCUAACUUCGUG
This 492-nucleotide ribosomal RNA is filed under the name uncultured bacterium. RNAcentral describes it as "partial 16S ribosomal RNA". It matches the Rfam family "Bacterial small subunit ribosomal RNA", at positions 29 to 507 of the family's 1533-position model. The record is from RNAcentral.